Molecule: ribosomal RNA, 305 nt
Filed under: uncultured bacterium
Lineage: Bacteria
Description: bacterial SSU rRNA
Rfam family: Bacterial small subunit ribosomal RNA
Source: RNAcentral
ACCUACGGGACGCAGCAGUGAGGAAUAUUGGUCAAUGGGCUUACGCCUGAACCAGCCAAGUCGCGUGAGGGAAGACUGCCCUAUGGGUUGUAAACCUCUUUUGUCAGGGAGCAACGCCGGCUACGUGUAGCCGGACUGAGAGUACCUGAAGAAAAAGCAUCGGCUAACUCCGUGCCAGCAGCCGCGGUAAUACGGAGGAUGCGAGCGUUAUCCGGAUUUAUUGGGUUUAAAGGGUGCGUAGGCGGAAUGCCAAGUCAGCGGUAAAAUCGCGGGGCUCAACCUCGAUCCGCCGGUGAAACUGGCGG